Molecule: ribosomal RNA, 490 nt
Filed under: uncultured bacterium
Lineage: Bacteria
Description: partial 16S ribosomal RNA
Rfam family: Bacterial small subunit ribosomal RNA
Source: RNAcentral
AUUGAACGCUGGCGGCAGGCCUAACACAUGCAAGUCGAACGGUAACAGGAAGAAGCUUGCUUCUUUGCUGACGAGUGGCGGACGGGUGAGUAAUGUCUGGGAAACUGCCUGAUGGAGGGGGAUAACUACUGGAAACGGUAGCUAAUACCGCAUAACGUCGCAAGACCAAAGAGGGGGACCUUCGGGCCUCUUGCCAUCGGAUGUGCCCAGAUGGGAUUAGCUAGUAGGUGGGGUAACGGCUCGCCUAGGCGACGAUCCCUAGCUGGUCUGAGAGGAUGACCAGCCACACUGGAACUGAGACACGGUCCAGACUCCUACGGGAGGCAGCAGUGGGGAAUAUUGCACAAUGGGCGCAAGCCUGAUGCAGCCAUGCCGCGUGUAUGAAGAAGGCCUUCGGGUUGUAAAGUACUUUCAGCGGGGAGGAAGGGAGUAAAGUUAAUACCUUUACUCAUUGACGUUACCCGCAGAAGAAGCACCGGCUAACUCCGUG